UACGAAGGGGGCUAGCGUUGCUCGGAAUGACUGGGCGUAAAGGGCGCGUAGGCGGUUCGUACAGUCAGACGUGAAAUUCCCGGGCUCAACCUGGGGGCUGCGUUUGAUACGUACGGGCUUGAGUUCGGAAGAGGGUCGUGGAAUUCCCAGUGUAGAGGUGAAAUUCGUAGAUAUUGGGAAGAACACCGGUGGCGAAGGCGGGUCUCUGGGCCGAUACUGACGCUGAGGAGCGAAAGCGUGGGGAGCGAACAGG
Molecule: ribosomal RNA, 253 nt
Filed under: uncultured bacterium
Lineage: Bacteria
Description: partial 16S ribosomal RNA
Rfam family: Bacterial small subunit ribosomal RNA
Source: RNAcentral